RNAcentral lists this ribosomal RNA (523 nucleotides) under Anaerobacillus isosaccharinicus. RNAcentral describes it as "bacterial LSU rRNA". It matches the Rfam family "Bacterial large subunit ribosomal RNA", at positions 334 to 839 of the family's 2925-position model. Lineage: Bacteria; Bacillati; Bacillota; Bacilli; Caryophanales; Bacillaceae. The record is from RNAcentral.
CGAAGCGAUCUGGAAAGGUCCGCGAAACAAGGUAACAGCCCUGUAAUCGAAACUUCGUUUCCUCCAGAGUGUAUCCUGAGUACGGCGGGACACGUGAAACCCCGUCGGAAUCCGGGAGGACCAUCUCCCAAGGCUAAAUACUUCCUAGUGACCGAUAGUGAACCAGUACCGUGAGGGAAAGGUGAAAAGCACCCCGGGAGGGGAGUGAAAGAGAUCCUGAAACCGUGUGCCUACAAGUAGUUGGAGCCCUAUGUUUUUUCUUUGGAAAAAACCCGGGUGACAGCGUGCCUUUUGUAGAAUGAACCGGCGAGUUACGAUUACGUGCAAGGUUAAGCUGAUAAGGCGGAGCCGCAGCGAAAGCGAGUCUGAAUAGGGCGAAUGAGUACGUGGUCGUAGACCCGAAACCGUGUGAUCUACCCAUGUCCAGGGUGAAGUUCAGGUAACACUGAAUGGAGGCCCGAACCCACGCACGUUGAAAAGUGCGGGGAUGAGGUGUGGGUAGGGGUGAAAUGCCAAUCGAACU